CCUACGGGAGGCAGCAGUAAGGAAUAUUGGGCAAUGGAGGCAACUCUGACCCAGCCAUGCCGCGUGAAGGAUGAAGGCCCUAUGGGUUGUAAACUUCUUUUGUACGGGAAUAAACCUGGUUACGUGUAACCAGUUGAAUGUACCGUAAGAAUAAGCACCGGCUAACUCCGUGCCAGCAGCCGCGGUAAUACGGAGGGUGCAAGCGUUAUCCGGAUUUAUUGGGUUUAAAGGGAGCGUAGGCGGGAUUGUAAGUCAGUGGUGAAAGCCCGUAGCUCAACUACGGAACUGCCAUUGAUACUGCAGACCUAGAGUACACUUGAAGUGGGCGGAAUGUGUCAUGUAGCGGUGAAAUGCUUAGAUAUGACACAGAACACCAAUUGCGAAGGCAGCUCACUAAAUUGUAACUGACGCUGAGGCUCGAUAGCGUGGGGAUCAAACAGGAUUAGAUACCCUGGUAGUCCACGCCGUAAACGAUGAUUACUCGAUGUUGGCGAUACACUGUCNGCGUCUGNGCGAAGACGAGUAAGUAAGUACCGACCGUACGGGUAAGGUACGGUCGUUCGAGACGUUAGAACGUACGAAGUUAGAGUUAGACGGCGUUGAGACGNGCGACGGACGACGACGAGGGAGGAGG
RNAcentral lists this ribosomal RNA (634 nucleotides) under uncultured bacterium. RNAcentral's name for it is "bacterial SSU rRNA". The stretch from base 1 to 535 matches the Rfam family "Bacterial small subunit ribosomal RNA", at positions 338 to 873 of the family's 1533-position model. The record is from RNAcentral.